RNAcentral lists this transfer RNA (72 nucleotides) under Fukomys damarensis (Damara mole-rat). It matches the Rfam family "tRNA". From Rfam's summary of the family: Transfer RNA (tRNA) molecules are approximately 80 nucleotides in length. Their secondary structure includes four short double-helical elements and three loops (D, anti-codon, and T loops). The record is from Rfam by way of RNAcentral. Lineage: Eukaryota; Metazoa; Chordata; Mammalia; Rodentia; Bathyergidae.
CUUGGUUUGGCUCAAUGGUAGAGCACGUGCUUAGCAUGUGGAGUGUCCUGGGUUCAAUUCCCAGCACUGGGA